Molecule: transfer RNA, 70 nt
Filed under: Egea inermis
Lineage: Eukaryota; Metazoa; Mollusca; Cephalopoda; Oegopsida; Cranchiidae
Description: tRNA-Leu
Source: RNAcentral
ACAGAGUUGGCAGAAUAAAUGUGAAUAAUUUAGGUUUAUUUUAUAAGAUAUUUUUAUAUCUUACUUUGUA